GACGAACGCUGGCGGCGUGCUUUACACAUGCAAGUCGAACGGUGAAGGGGGAGCUUGCUCCGCCGGAUCAGUGGCGAACGGGUGAGAAACACGGGGGCAACCUGCCCCUAACGUUGGGAUAUCUCCUCGAAAGAGUAGCUUAUACCGGAUAUGAAGUCUGGAGGCAUAAGUGGAUUUGGACAGUUUUUGGGUUAGGGAGGGGACCGCGGGCUAUCGGCUUGUUGGUGAGGUAGUGGCUCAGCAAGGCGACGACGGGUAGCCGGCUUGAGAGGGGGACCGGCCACACUGGGACUGAGACACGGCCCAGACUCCUACGGGAGGCAGCAGUGGGGAAUAUUGCGCAAUGGUCGAAAGCCUGACGCAGCAACGCCGCGUGCGGGAUGAAGGCCUUCGGGUUGUAAACCGCUUUCAGCAGGGGAGAAGCGAAAGUGACGGUACCUGCAGAAGAAGCACCGGCUAACUACGUGCCAGCCGCCGCCGUAA
RNAcentral lists this ribosomal RNA (483 nucleotides) under uncultured bacterium. RNAcentral describes it as "partial 16S ribosomal RNA". It matches the Rfam family "Bacterial small subunit ribosomal RNA", at positions 28 to 523 of the family's 1533-position model. The record is from RNAcentral.